GCCUAAUCUGUGGACUAGGCAGAGAAGGGGUCUCCCAAGAGAGGAAGCCAGGCCUGGAAGCCUGCAUCCUUCAUGGAGCCCCCAAGGCGGGAGGAUGGCUGGGGAGGGGACACAGGAACAAGGGUGGGGUACAAGUGAGCCUCUCUAGGUGACAGCCCCUGGGAUAAGGCAGCCAAACUGAUCCUUUGCUGGCGUACCCCACCCAACUGCAGGGGCACCACUGAGUGUGGAGGCCAAGGGCCAGUGCAGGGCCACACCAUUGCCUGGCUGCUGGCUCCAUGAGUAGGGCAGGGGAGCCCUGUGUCUGCUACUAUAAAUAGCUGUGUGUGUUGGACAGGUCCUUCUCUGCUCUGGGCCCAGUAAGGCCCUGGCCAGAGAGGCUGGGAUGGGCAAAUGCCUGCAGACAUCUGACUGGCUCUUCUCAGGGGGUCCUGUGAAUUCCCUCUGCUUCCUCUUGCGCUGAGCCUGGUGGCCCCCACUCAUCCCUGUCC
This 491-nucleotide long non-coding RNA is filed under the name Homo sapiens (human). Its description in RNAcentral is "non-protein coding lnc-GARS-5:1". Lineage: Eukaryota; Metazoa; Chordata; Mammalia; Primates; Hominidae. The record is from RNAcentral.